This 465-nucleotide ribosomal RNA is filed under the name Vreelandella stevensii. RNAcentral's name for it is "partial 16S ribosomal RNA". It matches the Rfam family "Bacterial small subunit ribosomal RNA", at positions 338 to 795 of the family's 1533-position model. Lineage: Bacteria; Pseudomonadati; Pseudomonadota; Gammaproteobacteria; Oceanospirillales; Halomonadaceae. The record is from RNAcentral.
CCUACGGGUGGCUGCAGUGGGGAAUAUUGGACAAUGGGCGAAAGCCUGAUCCAGCCAUGCCGCGUGUGUGAAGAAGGCCUUCGGGUUGUAAAGCACUUUCAGUGGGGACGAAAGCCUUGGGGCUAAUACCCUCGAGGAAGGACAUCACCCACAGAAGAAGCACCGGCUAACUCCGUGCCAGCAGCCGCGGUAAUACGGAGGGUGCGAGCGUUAAUCGGAAUUACUGGGCGUAAAGCGCGCGUAGGCGGUCUGAUAAGCCGGUUGUGAAAGCCCCGGGCUCAACCUGGGAACGGCAUCCGGAACUGUCAGGCUAGAGUACAGGAGAGGAAGGUAGAAUUCCCGGUGUAGCGGUGAAAUGCGUAGAGAUCGGGAGGAAUACCAGUGGCGAAGGCGGCCUUCUGGACUGACACUGACGCUGAGGUGCGAAAGCGUGGGUAGCAAACAGGAUUAGAUACCCUUGUAGUC